GAUGAAGAACGUAGCGAAAUGCGAUAAGUAAUGUGAAUUGCAGAAUUCAGUGAAUCAUCAAAUCUUUGAACGCACAUUGCGCCCGCCAGUAUUCUGGCGGGCAUGCCUGUUCGAGCGUCAUUUCAACCCUCAAGCCCAGCUUGGUGUUGGGGAUCGGCACAGGCGCCCUCGGGCGCCCGCCGUCCCCUAAAUCUAGUGGCGGUCCCGCUGCAGCCUCCUCUGCGUAGUAGUUUUCUCCUCGCAAGGGCAGCUCGGUGGCGACCUCGCCGUAAAACCCCCAACUUCUGAAAGGUUGACCUCGAAUCAGGUAGGAAUACCCGCUGAACUUAAGCAUAUCAAUAAGCGGAGGA
This 350-nucleotide unclassified non-coding RNA is filed under the name soil metagenome. RNAcentral describes it as "partial contains 5.8S ribosomal RNA, internal transcribed spacer 2, and large subunit ribosomal RNA". The stretch from base 1 to 120 matches the Rfam family "5.8S ribosomal RNA", at positions 35 to 154 of the family's 154-position model. The record is from RNAcentral.